AUGGGUUUUCUAGUAAUAUGGUGCAUGCUGUUCUUGUUAGUCAUGGGAGGACCUCAAAUAAAUGAUCAGAAGGUGCUUGUUGCAGAUGAUCGAUUGGAUUUAAGUAGUCUUAACUCUGGGAAUGACACUUUGUAUGGCAGUGAGACAUUUGGAAAUCAUACAUCGCCCUUGAAUACAAAUAACCACAACACAACUAUGUCCUCCACUAACCAGUAUCACUCUGAAUCUGAAACCCUAAAACAGAAUGGCUCUGUGUCCAAAGAACCAAAGUCUGGUGUUCAGCCCCUACCAAAUCCACGGGCAUCUCAACCACGUCAGUGCAAACCCAAACAGUCACAGGUGCCCCAGCAACAACUAAAAGCUUCCUGCCCACCCAAGAAGCAGCCUUCAUGCCGACCCUGUCCGCCCCAGGGGCCUAGCUGCUGGCCCUGCCCACACAAGGAGCAGUCUGCCUGCCGGCCUUGCCCAACCUUGAGCUGCCAGCUAAAGCAGCCCCAAAAGCCAGAGUUGUCUGAGCAUGUUGGUGACCCAGCACUGUAUCAGCCUCAGGUGACCCAGCAGACUGGUUUGCAUCCACCCAGUCUACAUCAGGUGACCCAGCAGACUGGUUUGCAUCCACCCAGUCUACAUCAGGUGACCCAGCAGACUGGUUUGCAUCCACCCAGUCUACAUCAGGUGACCCAGCAGACUGGUUUGCAUCCACCCAGUCUACAUCAGGUGACCCAGCAGACUGGUUUGCAGCCACCCAGUCUACAUCAGGUGACCCAGCAGACUGGUUUGCAGCCACCCAGUCUACAUCAGGUGACCCAGCAGACUGGUUUGCAGCCACCCAGUCUACAUCAGGUGACCCAGCAGACUGGUUUGCAGCCACACCAUCCACCCAGCGUCCCUGAGGAGAGCCGGCAGCCUGUUGUGCAUCCACCCAGCGUCCCUGAGGAGAGCCAACAGCCUGUUGUGCAUCCACCCAGCGACCCUGAGGAGAGCCGGCAGCCUGUUGUGCAUCCACCCAGCGACCCUGAGGAGAGCCGGCAGCCUGUUGUGCAUCCACCCAGCGACCCUGAGGAGAGCCAGCAGACUGGUGUGCCUCCACUCAUUACGCCUCAGGUGACCCAGCAGAAUGGUUUGCAUCCACCUCAUCUGCCUCACUUACCACAGCAGACUGGUUUGCAUCCAUUCACCCAGUCUAUCUCAGGUGACCCGGCAGACUGGUUUACAUCCACACCAUCUACCCAGUCUAUCUCAGGUGACCCAGCAGACUGGUUUACAUCCACACCAUCUACCCAGUCUAUCUCAGGUGACCCAGCAGACUGGUUUACAUCCACACCAUCUACCCAGUCUAUCUCAGGUGACCCAGCAGACUGGUUUGCAUCCACCUCAUCUGCCUCACUUACCACAGCAGACUGGUUUGCAUCCACACCAUCUACCCAGUCUAUUUCAGGUGACCCGGCAGACUGGUUUACAUCCACACCAUCUACCCAGUCUAUUUCAGGUGACCCAGCAGACUGGUUUACAUCCACACCAUCUACCCAGUCUAUUUCAGGUGACCCAGCAAACCAGUUUGCAUCCACACUUUCAACUUCAGGUGACAAAGCAGACUGGUUUACAUCCACAGCAUCCACAUCAGGUACCCCAGCAAACUGGUUUGCAUUCACACUCUCUGCCUCUGGCAAUGCAGCAGAAAGGCUUCCCACCCCUGCAUCCUCAGCCACCACAGGGCCCUCAGCAGGCUGCCUUUCUGCCCCAGUACCCCCAUCCACAGGUUCCCCAGCAGGCUGUCUUUCCAUCCCUGCACCCCCAUCCGCAGGUGCCCCAGCAGGCAGUCUUCCCGCCCCUGUACCUCCAUCCGCAGGUGCCCCAGCAGGCAGUCUUCCCGCCCCUGUACCUCCAUCCGCAGGUGCCCCAGCAGGCAGUCUUCCCGCCCCUGUACCUCCAUCCGCAGGUGCCCCAGCAGGCAGUCUUCCCGCCCCUGUACCUCCAUCCGCAGGUGCCCCAGCAGGCAGUCUUCCCGCCCCUGUACCUCCAUCCGCAGGUGCCCCAGCAGGCAGUCUUCCCGCCCCUGUACCUCCAUCCGCAGGUGCCCCAGCAGGCAGUCUUCCCGCCCCUGUACCUCCAUCCGCAGGUGCCCCAGCAGGCAGUCUUCCCGCCCCUGUACCUCCAUCCGCAGGUGCCCCAGCAGGCAGUCUUCCCGCCCCUGUACCCUCAGCCUCAGCCCAUGCCUCAGCAGACAUAUUACCAAUUCAAGCAGCUUCUGGAAGCCCAAUGGCCCCAACGGCCACUCUACCAGCUCCAGGCCAAGCAGCCACGCCACCAGCCUUUCAUGUCACACUACCAAUCCCGAUUGCCAAGCUACAGUCCCAAGGUGCCACUGUACCAGGCCAAGAAGCUUCAGCACCCCCGCAGAUCAGAUACCAACCUUAA
Molecule: long non-coding RNA, 2418 nt
Filed under: Oreochromis niloticus (Nile tilapia)
Lineage: Eukaryota; Metazoa; Chordata; Actinopteri; Cichliformes; Cichlidae
Description: lncRNA (ENSONIG00000033385.1)
Source: RNAcentral